UACGGAGGGAGCUAGCGUUGUUCGGAAUUACUGGGAGUAAAGCGCGCGUAGGCGGCCCGGUAAGUCCGCUGUGAAAGUCAAAGGCUCAACCUUUGAAUGCCGGUGGAUACUGUCGGGCUAGAGUCCGGAAGAGGCGAGUGGAAUUCCUGGUGUAGCGGUGGAAUGCGCAGAUAUCAGGAGGAACACCAAUAGCGAAGGCAGCUCGCUGGGACGGUACUGACGCUAAGGCGCGAAAGCGUGGGGAGCGAACAGG
RNAcentral lists this ribosomal RNA (253 nucleotides) under uncultured bacterium. Its description in RNAcentral is "partial 16S ribosomal RNA". It matches the Rfam family "Bacterial small subunit ribosomal RNA", at positions 524 to 776 of the family's 1533-position model. The record is from RNAcentral.